UGGGGAAUUGUUCGCAAUGGGCGCAAGCCUGACGACGCAACGCCGCGUGGAGGAUGAAGAUCUUCGGGUCGUAAACUCCUUUCGAUCGAGACGAAUGAUCCCUGGGUGAACAAUCCAGGGAAAUGACGGUACCGAGAGAAGAAGCCCCGGCUAACUCCGUGCCAGCAGCCGCGGUAAUACGGGGGGGGCAAGCGUUGUUCGGAAUUACUGGGCGUAAAGGGCUUGUAGGUGGCCAACUAAGUCAGACGUGAAAUCCCUCGGCUUAACCGGGGAACUGCGUCUGAUACUGGAUGGCUAGAGUGUGGGAGAGGGAUGCGGAAUUCCAGGUGUAGCGGUGAAAUGCGUAGAUAUCUGGAGGAACACCGGUGGCGAAGGCGGCAUCCUGGACCACGACUGACACUGAAAAGCGAAAGCCAGGGGAGCAAACGGGAUUAGAUACCCCCGUAGUCC
RNAcentral lists this ribosomal RNA (450 nucleotides) under uncultured bacterium. RNAcentral describes it as "bacterial SSU rRNA". It matches the Rfam family "Bacterial small subunit ribosomal RNA", at positions 355 to 796 of the family's 1533-position model. The record is from RNAcentral.